GACGAACGCUGGCGGCGUGCUUAACACAUGCAAGUCGAACGGAAAGGCUCCAGCUUGCUGGAGUACUCGAGUGGCGAACGGGUGAGUAACACGUGGGUAAUCUGCCCUGCACUCUGGGAUAAGCCUGGGAAACUGGGUCUAAUACUGAAUAUGACCUUUCUCCUUAUGGGGUUUGGUGGAAAGUUUUUCGGUGUAGGAUGAGCCCGCGGCCUAUCAGCUUGUUGGUGGGGUGAUGGCCUACCAAGGCGACGACGGGUAGCCGGCCUGAGAGGGUGAUCGGCCACAUUGGGACUGAGAUACGGCCCAGACUCCUACGGGAGGCAGCAGUGGGGAAUAUUGCACAAUGGGCGGAAGCCUGAUGCAGCGACGCCGCGUGAGGGAGGACGGCCUUCGGGUGGUAAACCUCUUUCAGCAGGGACGAAGCGUAAGUGACGGUACCUGCAGAAGAAGCACCGGCUAACUAUGU
This 466-nucleotide ribosomal RNA is filed under the name uncultured bacterium. RNAcentral's name for it is "partial 16S ribosomal RNA". It matches the Rfam family "Bacterial small subunit ribosomal RNA", at positions 28 to 506 of the family's 1533-position model. The record is from RNAcentral.